This 254-nucleotide ribosomal RNA is filed under the name uncultured bacterium. RNAcentral's name for it is "partial 16S ribosomal RNA". It matches the Rfam family "Bacterial small subunit ribosomal RNA", at positions 524 to 776 of the family's 1533-position model. The record is from RNAcentral.
UACGUAGGGUGCAAGCGUUGUCCGGAUUUAUUGGGCGUAAAGAGCUCGUAGGUGGUUCGGCAAGUCAGUUGUGAAAUCUCCGCGCUCAACGCGGAGGGGUCAGCUGAAACUGCUGUGACUUGAGUCUGGUAGGGGAGUGUGGAAUUCCCGGUGUAGCGGUGAAAUGCGCAGAUAUCGGGAGGAACACCAGUGGCGAAGGCGGCACUCUGGGCCAGUACUGACACUGAGGAGCGAAAGCGUGGGGAGCGAACAGG